AAGACUAUCUCUUCUUCGUGACUCUUUUAAUAAUAAUAAGCUGUUCCCAGAUUUCUCCUCACAUUUCACUGAACAGAACUGAGCCACAUGCUCAUACCCAGAGGAAUGGACUAAACCCAGGAUCGGCUAAAUCCAAUCACUUUGGAAUUGGAAAUCAGCGCCCAUAAAGGACAUGUGAAUGAACAAAAAUUGGAUUUAGGUUGCGAAGAAAAAAGAGAAUUUAUUGUAGGGCAGAUGAUUAACAGGAAUUUCUAUAGACUCCUUCAUCAUUGCUGGUGGAGAAUAAUUUUUGGAGCAAUGAAAGAGUUGCAGCCCAAAGGCCUGAGCCAUGCUUUCCUUUUUCUGAGCUCUACCCUCAUGUCUGUGUGUCCACCAUGCCCACUGGAUGGCCGGAUUCACCAGUGGAUUCCUCACCACUGUCAUUUUACAUACUUCUCAUCAUUUCCUUCUAAACCAUCUAGAAUCCUGCUGGAGCUUUAAGGAAGAGGUCAAUGGCCUAUAGAAAAGACUCUCCCAUCUUGAGAAUAAAUAUACAUUCUGGACUUA
Hipposideros armiger (great roundleaf bat) is the source of this 546-nucleotide long non-coding RNA. RefSeq lists it as uncharacterized. The transcript has 2 exons. The record is from RefSeq and is a predicted model, not a curated record. Lineage: Eukaryota; Metazoa; Chordata; Mammalia; Chiroptera; Hipposideridae.